UGAGGGAAAGGCGAAAAGAACCCCGGCGAGGGGAGUGAAAAAGAACCUGAAACCGUGUACGUACAAGCAGUGGGAGCACCCUUUGGGGUGUGACUGCGUACCUUUUGUAUAAUGGGUCAGCGACUUAUAUUCUGUAGCAAGGUUAACCGAAUAGGGGAGCCGGAGGGAAACCGAGUCUUAACCGGGCGUUAAGUUGCAGGGUAUAGACCCGAAACCCGGUGAUCUAGCCAUGGGCAGGUUGAAGGUUGGGUAACACUAACUGGAGGACCGAACCGACUAAUGUUGAAAAAUUAGCGGAUGACCUGUGGCUGGGGGUGAAAGGCCAAUCAAACCGGGAGAUAGCUGGUUCUCCCCGAAAGCUAUUUAGGUAGCGCCUCGUGAAUUCAUCUCCGGGGGUAGAGCACUGUUUCGGCUAGGGGGCCAUCCCGGCUUACCAACCCGAUGCAAACUGCGAAUACCGGAGAAUGUUAUCACGGGAGACACACGGCGGGUGCUAACGUCCGUCGUGAAGAGGGAAACAACCCAGACCGCCAGCUAAGGUCCCAAAGUCAUGGUUAAGUGGGAAACGAUGUGGGAAGGCCCAGACAGCCAGGAUGUUGGCUUAGAAGCAGCCAUCAUUUAAAGAAAGCGUAAUAGCUCACUGGUCGAGUCGGCCUGCGCGGAAGAUGUAACGGGGCUAAACCAUGCACCGAAGCUGCGGCAGCGACACUCAGGUGUUGUUGGGUAGGGGAGCGUUCUGUAAGCCUGCGAAGGUGGCCUGUGAGGGUUGCUGGAGGUAUCAGAAGUGCGAAUGCUGACAUAAGUAACGAUAAAGCGGGUGAAAAGCCCGCUCGCCGGAAGACCAAGGGUUCCUGUCCAACGUUAAUCGGGGCAGGGUGAGUCGACCCCUAAGGCGAGGCCGAAAGGCGUAGUCGAUGGGAAACGGGUUAAUAUUCCCGUACUUGGUGUUACUGCGAAGGGGGGACGGAGAAGGCUAUGUUGGCCGGGCGACGGUUGUCCCGGUUUAAGCGUGUAGGUGUGUGUUCCAGGUAAAUCCGGUUCACUUUAACACUGAGGCGUGACGACGAGGCACUACGGUGCUGAAGCAACAAAUGCCCUGCUUCCAGGAAAAGCCUCUAAGCAUCAGGUAACAUCAAAUCGUACCCCAAACCGACACAGGUGGUCAGGUAGAGAAUACCAAGGCGCUUGAGAGAACUCGGGUGAAGGAACUAGGCAAAAUGGUGCCGUAACUUCGGGAGAAGGCACGCUGACAUGUAGGUGAAGUGAUUUACUCAUGGAGCUGAAGUCAGUCGAAGAUACCAGCUGGCUGCAACUGUUUAUUAAAAACACAGCACUGUGCAAACACGAAAGUGGACGUAUACGGUGUGACGCCUGCCCGGUGCCGGAAGGUUAAUUGAUGGGGUCAGCGCAAGCGAAGCUCCUGAUCGAAGCCCCGGUAAACGGCGGCCGUAACUAUAACGGUCCUAAGGUAGCGAAAUUCCUUGUCGGGUAAGUUCCGACCUGCACGAAUGGCGUAAUGAUGGCCAGGCUGUCUCCACCCGAGACUCAGUGAAAUUGAACUCGCUGUGAAGAUGCAGUGUACCCGCGGCAAGACGGAAAGACCCCGUGAACCUUUACUAUAGCUUGACACUGAACAUUGAGCCUUGAUGUGUAGGAUAGGUGGGAGGCUUUGAAGUGUGG
This 1680-nucleotide ribosomal RNA is filed under the name Salmonella enterica subsp. enterica serovar Panama. RNAcentral's name for it is "partial 23S ribosomal RNA". It matches the Rfam family "Bacterial large subunit ribosomal RNA", at positions 504 to 2167 of the family's 2925-position model. The record is from RNAcentral. Lineage: Bacteria; Pseudomonadati; Pseudomonadota; Gammaproteobacteria; Enterobacterales; Enterobacteriaceae.